GUGUCAGCAGCCGCGGUAAUACGUAGGGGGCAAGCGUUGUCCGGAUUUAUUGGGCGUAAAGAGCGUGUAGGCGGCCUUGCAAGUCCGUUGUGAAAACUCGAGGCUCAACCUCGAGACGCCGGUGGAAACUGCAAAGCUAGAGUCCGGAAGAGGAGAGUGGAAUUCCUGGUGUAGCGGUGAAAUGCGCAGAUAUCAGGAGGAACACCCGUGGCGAAAGCGGCUCUCUGGGACGGUACUGACGCUGAGACGCGAAAGCGUGGGGAGCAAACAGGAUUAGAUACCCUGGUAGUCC
RNAcentral lists this ribosomal RNA (292 nucleotides) under uncultured bacterium. Its description in RNAcentral is "partial 16S ribosomal RNA". It matches the Rfam family "Bacterial small subunit ribosomal RNA", at positions 505 to 796 of the family's 1533-position model. The record is from RNAcentral.